GAGCGAGAAAGUGGUAGCAAUACCAUGAGUAAAGCGGCGCACGGGUGAGUAACACGUGACUAACCUACCCUGGAGUGGGGAAUAACUGAGGGAAACCUUAGCUAAUACCGCAUAAUACCUACGGGUCAAAGGAGCAAUUCGCUCUGGGAGGGGGUCGCGGCCGAUUAGUUAGUUGGCGGGGUAAUGGCCCACCAAGACGAUGAUCGGUAUCCGGCCUGAGAGGGCGCACGGACACACUGGAACUGAAACACGGUCCAGACUCCUACGGGAGGCAGCAGUGGGGAAUUUUGCGCAAUGGGGGAAACCCUGACGCAGCAACGCCGCGUGGAGGAUGAAGUCCCUCGGGACGUAAACUCCUUUCGAUCGGGACGAUAAUGACGGUACCGGAAGAAGAAGCCCCGGCUAACUUCGUGCCAGCAGCCGCGGUAAUACGAGGGGGGCGAGCGUUGUUCGGAAUUAUUGGGCGUAAAGGGUGCGUAGGCGGUUUGGUAAGUCUUCUGUGAAAUCUAUGGGCUCAACUCAUAGACUGCAUGAGAAACUGCCGGGCUCGAGUGUGGGAGAGGUGAGUGGAAUUUCCGGUGUAGCGGUGAAAUGCGUAGAUAUCGGAAGGAACACCUGUGGCGAAAGCGGCUCACUGGACCACAACUGACGCUGAUGCACGAAAGCUAGGGGA
Molecule: ribosomal RNA, 673 nt
Filed under: uncultured bacterium
Lineage: Bacteria
Description: bacterial SSU rRNA
Rfam family: Bacterial small subunit ribosomal RNA
Source: RNAcentral